UACGUAGGUGGCGAGCGUUAUCCGGAAUUAUUGGGCGUAAAGAGCGCGCAGGUGGUUGAUUAAGUCUGAUGUGAAAGCCCACGGCUUAACCGUGGAGGGUCAUUGGAAACUGGUCGACUUGAGUGCAGAAGAGGGAAGUGGAAUUCCAUGUGUAGCGGUGAAAUGCGUAGAGAUAUGGAGGAACACCAGUGGCGAAGGCGGCUUCCUGGUCUGUAACCGACACUGAGGCGCGAAAGCGUGGGGAGGCAAACAGGAUUAGAUACCCGGGUAGGU
This 273-nucleotide ribosomal RNA is filed under the name uncultured prokaryote. Its description in RNAcentral is "partial 16S ribosomal RNA". It matches the Rfam family "Bacterial small subunit ribosomal RNA", at positions 524 to 794 of the family's 1533-position model. The record is from RNAcentral.